RNAcentral lists this non-coding RNA (21 nucleotides) under Caenorhabditis elegans. The record is from RNAcentral. Lineage: Eukaryota; Metazoa; Nematoda; Chromadorea; Rhabditida; Rhabditidae.
UUCUUUCUGCAUUUAACCAUU